AGUGAACGCUGGCGGUAGGCCUAACACAUGCAAGUCGAACGGCAGCACAGUAAGAGCUUGCUCUUACGGGUGGCGAGUGGCGGACGGGUGAGGAAUACAUCGGAAUCUACUUUUUCGUGGGGGAUAGCGUAGGGAAACUUACGCUAAUACCGCAUACGACCUACGGGUGAAAGCAGGGGAUCUUCGGACCUUGCUCGAUUGAAUGAGCCGAUGUCGGAUUAGCUAGUUGGCGGGGUAAAGGCCCACCAAGGCGACGAUCCGUAGCUGGUCUGGGAGGAUGAUCAGCCACACUGGAACUGAGACACGGUCCAGACUCCUACGGGAGGCAGCAGUGGGGAAUAUUGGACAAUGGGCGCAAGCCUGAUCCAGCCAUACCGCGUGGGUGAAGAAGGCCUUCGGGUUGUAAAGCCCUUUUGUUGGGAAAGAAAAGCAGCAGGUUAAUACCCCGCUGUUCUGACGGUACCCAAAGAAUAAGCACCGGCUAACUUCGUG
This 492-nucleotide ribosomal RNA is filed under the name uncultured bacterium. RNAcentral's name for it is "partial 16S ribosomal RNA". It matches the Rfam family "Bacterial small subunit ribosomal RNA", at positions 29 to 507 of the family's 1533-position model. The record is from RNAcentral.